Molecule: ribosomal RNA, 760 nt
Filed under: Acinetobacter gyllenbergii
Lineage: Bacteria; Pseudomonadati; Pseudomonadota; Gammaproteobacteria; Moraxellales; Moraxellaceae
Description: bacterial SSU rRNA
Rfam family: Bacterial small subunit ribosomal RNA
Source: RNAcentral
GUAAUGCUUAGGAAUCUGCCAUUUAGUGGGGGACAACAUUCCGAAAGGAAUGCUAAUACCGCAUACGUCCUACGGGAGAAAGCAGGGGAUCUUCGGACCUUGCGCUAAAUGAUGAGCCUAAGUCGGAUUAGCUAGUUGGUGGGGUAAAGGCCUACCAAGGCGACGAUCUGUAGCGGGUCUGAGAGGAUGAUCCGCCACACUGGGACUGAGACACGGCCCAGACUCCUACGGGAGGCAGCAGUGGGGAAUAUUGGACAAUGGGCGCAAGCCUGAUCCAGCCAUGCCGCGUGUGUGAAGAAGGCCUUUUGGUUGUAAAGCACUUUAAGCGAGGAGGAGGCUACCUAGACUAAUACUCUAGGAUAGUGGACGUUACUCGCAGAAUAAGCACCGGCUAACUCUGUGCCAGCAGCCGCGGUAAUACAGAGGGUGCGAGCGUUAAUCGGAUUUACUGGGCGUAAAGCGUGCGUAGGCGGCUUUUUAAGUCGGAUGUGAAAUCCCCGAGCUUAACUUGGGAAUUGCAUUCGAUACUGGGGAGCUAGAGUAUGGGAGAGGAUGGUAGAAUUCCAGGUGUAGCGGUGAAAUGCGUAGAGAUCUGGAGGAAUACCGAUGGCGAAGGCAGCCAUCUGGCCUAAUACUGACGCUGAGGUACGAAAGCAUGGGGAGCAAACAGGAUUAGAUACCCUGGUAGUCCAUGCCGUAAACGAUGUCUACUAGCCGUUGGGGCCUUUGAGGCUUUAGUGGCGCAGCUAACGCGAUAAGU